RNAcentral lists this ribosomal RNA (253 nucleotides) under uncultured bacterium. RNAcentral describes it as "partial 16S ribosomal RNA". It matches the Rfam family "Bacterial small subunit ribosomal RNA", at positions 524 to 776 of the family's 1533-position model. The record is from RNAcentral.
UACAGAGGUCUCAAGCGUUGUUCGGAUUCAUUGGGCGUAAAGGGUGCGUAGGCGGCGCGGUAAGUCGGGUGUGAAAUCUCGGGGCUUAACUCCGAAACUGCAUUCGAUACUGCCGUGCUUGAGGACUGGAGAGGAGACUGGAGUUUACGGUGUAGCGGUGAAAUGCGUAGAUAUCGUAAGGAAGACCAGUGGCGAAGGCGGGUCUCUGGACAGUUCCUGACGCUGAGGCACGAAGGCCAGGGGAGCAAACGGG